Molecule: ribosomal RNA, 465 nt
Filed under: uncultured bacterium
Lineage: Bacteria
Description: bacterial SSU rRNA
Rfam family: Bacterial small subunit ribosomal RNA
Source: RNAcentral
CCUACGGGCUGCAGCAGUGGGGAAUAUUGCACAAUGGGCGCAAGCCUGAUGCAGCCAUGCCGCGUGUAUGAAGAAGGCCUUCGGGUUGUAAAGUACUUUCAGCGGGGAGGAAGGUGUUGUGGUUAAUAACCACAGCAAAUGACGUUACCCGCAGAAGAAGCACCGGCUAACUCCGUGCCAGCAGCCGCGGUAAUACGGAGGGUGCAAGCGUUAAUCGGAAUUACUGGGCGUAAAGCGCACGCGGGCGGUCUGUCAAGUCGGAUGUGAAAUCCCCGGGCUCAACCUGGGAACUGCAUUCGAAACUGGCAGGCUAGAGUCUUGUAGAGGGGGGUAGAAUUCCAGGUGUAGCGGUGAAAUGCGUAGAGAUCUGGAGGAAUACCGGUAGCGAAGGCGGCCCCCUGGACAAAGACUGACGCUCAGGUGUGAAAGCGUGGGGAGCAGACAGGAUUAGAUACCCCCGUAGUC